RNAcentral lists this ribosomal RNA (427 nucleotides) under uncultured archaeon. RNAcentral describes it as "bacterial SSU rRNA". It matches the Rfam family "Archaeal small subunit ribosomal RNA", at positions 474 to 903 of the family's 1478-position model. The record is from RNAcentral.
UACCAGCUCUCCGAGUGGUAGGGAUGAUUAUUGGGCUUAAAGCGUCCGUAGCCGGCUUAGCAAGUCUCCUGUUAAAUUCAGCGACCUAAUCGUUGAGCCGCGGGAGAUACUACUAGGCUAGGAGGCGGGAGAGGUCGACGGUACUUCUGGGGUAGGGGUGAAAUCCUAUAAUCCCGGGAGGACCACCAGUGGCGAAGGCUGUCGACUAGAACGCGCUCGACGGUGAGGGACGAAAGCUGGGGGAGCGAACCGGAUUAGAUACCCGGGUAGUCCCAGCUGUAAACGAUGCGGGCUAGGUGUUGGGGUGGCUACGUGCCACUUCAGUGCCGCAGGGAAGCCAUUAAGCCCGCCGCCUGGGGAGUACGGCCGCAGGCUGAAACUUAAAGGAAUUGGCGGGGAGCACCACAAGGUGUGAAGCUUGCGGUUC